AUACGGAGGGUGCAAGCGUUACUCGGAAUCACUGGGCGUAAAGCGCGCGCAGGCGGCUAUUUAAGUUGGAUGUGAAAGCCUACGGCUCAAUCGUAGAACUGCAUCCAAAACUAUUUAGCUAGAGUGUGGGAGAGGAAGAUGGAAUUAGUUGUGUAGGGGUAAAAUCCGUAGAGAUAACUAGGAAUACCAAAAGCGAAGGCAAUCUUCUGGAACACUACUGACGCUGAGGCGCGAAAGCGUGGGGAGCAAACGGGAUUAGAAACCCCGGUAGUCC
RNAcentral lists this ribosomal RNA (274 nucleotides) under uncultured bacterium. RNAcentral describes it as "partial 16S ribosomal RNA". It matches the Rfam family "Bacterial small subunit ribosomal RNA", at positions 523 to 796 of the family's 1533-position model. The record is from RNAcentral.